This 468-nucleotide ribosomal RNA is filed under the name uncultured bacterium. Its description in RNAcentral is "partial 16S ribosomal RNA". It matches the Rfam family "Bacterial small subunit ribosomal RNA", at positions 28 to 507 of the family's 1533-position model. The record is from RNAcentral.
GACGAACGCUGGCGGCGUGCUUAACACAUGCAAGUCGAACGGCAGGGCCCUGCUUUUGUGGGGUGCUGGAGUGGGGAACGGGUGAGUAACACGUGUGUAACCUGCCCUUGAUUUUGGGAUAACUUCAGGUAACUGGGGCUAAUCCCGUACAGGAGCCCCCGCUGCAUGGUGGGGGGUGGAAAGUUUCGGCGGUCGGGGCUGGACGGGCGGCUUAUCAGCUAGUUGGUGGGGGAGUGGCUUACCAAGGCUGUGACGGGUAGCCGGCCUGAGAGGGUGACCGGCCACAUGGGGACUAAGGGACGCCGCAGUGUCGUACGGGGGGCAGCAGUGGGAAGUCUUACACAGUGGGAGGGCGCCGGUGACGGAAACGCCCGGGGCGUGAAGCCGGCCUUCGGGUUGUGAACCGCUUUCGCCUGAGACGAAGCGUGAGUGACGGUAAUGAGUAAAGAAGCACCGGCUAACUACGUG